AUUGAACGCUGGCGGCAUGCCUAACACAUGCAAGUCGAACGGAAACGAUGGAAGCUUGCUUCCAGGCGUCGAGUGGCGGACGGGUGAGUAAUACUUAGGAAUCUGCCCAUUAGUGGGGGACAACUCGGGGAAACUCGAGCUAAUACCGCAUACGCCCUACGGGGGAAAGCGGGGGAUCUUCGGACCUCGCGCUAAUGGAUGAGCCUAAGUCGGAUUAGCUUGUUGGUGAGGUAAAGGCUCACCAAGGCGACGAUCCGUAGCUGGUCUGAGAGGACGAUCAGCCACACUGGGACUGAGACACGGCCCAGACACCUACGGGUGGCAG
Molecule: ribosomal RNA, 325 nt
Filed under: uncultured Pseudomonadota bacterium
Lineage: Bacteria; Pseudomonadati; Pseudomonadota
Description: bacterial SSU rRNA
Rfam family: Bacterial small subunit ribosomal RNA
Source: RNAcentral